This 468-nucleotide unclassified non-coding RNA is filed under the name Hevea brasiliensis (rubber tree). The record is from RNAcentral. Lineage: Eukaryota; Viridiplantae; Streptophyta; Magnoliopsida; Malpighiales; Euphorbiaceae.
UAACUAAUGCAAAUGUCCACCUGCCGAUCAAUCAUUAAACAUGACAGAAAAUUAGAAGGCAUCCAAUUUUCAAAUUAUGUGCAAUUAGAAACACAAUAAAUUUCUGCUGGUGGACUGCGGUCAUAAUUAUUGUAGAAAUAGAAUUGACAAAACCUCCGUCAAUGGUCACAAUCUCAUAAAGCAUCGGAGCCAAGCAAAUAAAAGUGGAAAUUGUAUAGAAGAGAAGCCAAAGAGGGUUAAGGCAUCUCCAGCAUGGCUUCCACAAAUCAUUCAAGAGCGAUGAUUAAAAAUAUUAAUCCGGAUUGCUGCGUGUGAUUCGGGUAUUUCAUGAUCGAUUUUAAUCAAGACUGAUUCGGAUAUUUUGUGGAUACCCUUGCCAUGCUUACUACCAGAGCACAUGCUCUCUCUCAUAUGUGUGUAAGUCCUGCUCUCCUUUAGAUAAUGAAUGGGGUAAUGCUACAUGUCUCG